GAUGAACGCUGGCGGUAUGCUUAACACAUGCAAGUCGAACGGGACCUUUCGGGGUCUAGUGGCGGACGGGUGAGUAACGCGUGAGGAUCUGCCCAUAGGUUCGGAACAACAGUUGGAAACGACUGCUAAUACCGGAUGUGCCGGGAGGUGAAAGCUUAAGUGCCUAUGGAUGAGCUCGCGUCUGAUUAGCUAGUUGGAGUGGUAACGGCACCCCAAGGCGACGAUCAGUAGCUGGUCUGAGAGGAUGAUCAGCCACACUGGGACCGAGACACGGCCCAGACUCCUACGGGAGGCAGCAGUGGGGAAUUUUUCCGCAAUGGGCGCAAGCCUGACGGAGCAAGACCGCGUGAGGGAAGAAGGUCUGUGGAUUGUAAACCUCUUUUGAUAGGGAAGAAGGAAGUGACGGUACCUAUCGAAUCAGCCUCGGCUAACACCGUGUCAGCAGCCGCGGUAAU
Molecule: ribosomal RNA, 455 nt
Filed under: uncultured bacterium
Lineage: Bacteria
Description: bacterial SSU rRNA
Rfam family: Bacterial small subunit ribosomal RNA
Source: RNAcentral